RNAcentral lists this ribosomal RNA (110 nucleotides) under Danio rerio (zebrafish). Lineage: Eukaryota; Metazoa; Chordata; Actinopteri; Cypriniformes; Danionidae. The record is from RNAcentral.
GAGCUAGCAGCUAGCUCUGUGCAACUCUCACAUGGACUUAAGCUAAGCAAGGCUGCGCCUGGUCAGUACCUGGAUGGGAGACCACAUGGGAAAGCUAGGUUGUUGGCGAA